Molecule: ribosomal RNA, 468 nt
Filed under: uncultured bacterium
Lineage: Bacteria
Description: partial 16S ribosomal RNA
Rfam family: Bacterial small subunit ribosomal RNA
Source: RNAcentral
GACGAACGCUGGCGGCGUGCUUAACACAUGCAAGUCGAACGGAAAGGCCCUGCUUUUGUGGGGUGCUCGAGUGGCGAACGGGUGAGUAACACGUGAUUAACCUGCCCUUGACUUUGGGAUAACUUCAGGAAACUGGGGCUAAUACCGGAUAGGAGCUCCUGCUGCAUGGUGUGGGUUGGAAAGUUUCGGCGGUUGGGGAUGGACUCGCGGCUUAUCAGCUUGUUGGUGGGGUAGUGGCUUACCAAGGCUUUGACGGGUAGCCGGCCUGAGAGGGUGACCGGCCACAUUGGGACUGAGAUACGGCCCAGACUCCUACGGGAGGCAGCAGUGGGGAAUAUUGCACAAUGGGCGGAAGCCUGAUGCAGCAACGCCGCGUGAGGGAUGACGGCCUUCGGGUUGUAAACCGCUUUCGCCUGUGACGAAGCGUGAGUGACGGUAAUGGGUAAAGAAGCACCGGCUAACUACGUG